Molecule: ribosomal RNA, 37 nt
Filed under: Polyommatus celina
Lineage: Eukaryota; Metazoa; Arthropoda; Insecta; Lepidoptera; Lycaenidae
Description: partial 28S ribosomal RNA
Source: RNAcentral
UGGCCUCAAAUCAGGGAGGAUCACCCGCCGAAUUUAA